RNAcentral lists this ribosomal RNA (917 nucleotides) under uncultured Planctomycetota bacterium. Its description in RNAcentral is "bacterial SSU rRNA". It matches the Rfam family "Bacterial small subunit ribosomal RNA", at positions 28 to 896 of the family's 1533-position model. Lineage: Bacteria; Pseudomonadati; Planctomycetota. The record is from RNAcentral.
AACGAACGCUGGCGGCGUGGCUGAGACAUGCAAGUCGCACGGAACUGCUUUUGGGUAACUGAGAACAGUUUAGCGGCGAAAGGGUGAGUAAUGCAUGGGUAACGUACCCCGGGCACCGGGAUAGCAGCGUCUGCUUCGGCAGGCUACCGAAAGGGCUGGUAAUACCGGAUGUGGUUGGUAGCACUGCGGUGCUUUUGAUCAAAGUUGGGGAUCCGCUUCGGCGGACCUAACGGCCUGGGAGCGGCCCAUGUUCCAUCAGCUAGUUGGUAGGGUAAAGGCCUACCAAGGCGAUGACGGAUACCGGGGCUGAGAGGCCGAUCCGGCACAUUGGGACUGAGACACUGCCCAGACCCCCACGGGGGGCUGCAGUAACGAAUCUUCCGCAAUGGGCGCAAGCCUGACGGAGCGACGCCGCGUGUGGGAUGAAUUCCCUCGGGAUGUAAACCACUGUCAGGGUUAUGGAAGCAAACCGCAGUAAUAUUGCGGGGCGUAGACCUAGCCCAGAGGAAGCCACGGCUGACUUCGUGCCAGCAGCCGCGGUAAUACGAAGGUGGCAAGCGUUGUUCGGAAUAACUGGGCUUAAAGAGCACGUAGGCGGCCGGUCUAGCAUUUUGUGAAAUCCCUCGGCUCAACCGAGGAAUUGCGAGGUGAACUGGCCGGCUUGAGCUGCAGAUGGGUGACUGGAACUCUAGGUGGAGUGGUGAAAUACGUAGAUAUCUAGAGGAACGCCGGUGGUGAAAACGGGUCACUGGCUGCAAGCUGACGCUGAGGUGCGAAAGCGUGGGGAGCGAACGGGAUUAGAUACCCCGGUAGUCCACGCCGUAAACGAUGGGCACUAGGUUCGGGGGAGUUUGACCUUUUCCGGGCCGAAGCAAAAGUACUAAGUGCCCCGCCUGGGGAGUACGGUCGCAAGGCUA